This 3317-nucleotide long non-coding RNA is filed under the name Heterocephalus glaber (naked mole-rat). RNAcentral's name for it is "lncRNA (ENSHGLG00100041696.1)". Lineage: Eukaryota; Metazoa; Chordata; Mammalia; Rodentia; Bathyergidae. The record is from RNAcentral.
GGGGGGGGGGGAGAGAGAGAGAGAGAGAGAGAGAGAGAAACAGACAGAGACAGAGAUAUCCAGAACCAGAUACUGUCCCUUAGAUGACACCUCCAUGGAGAUUCCCUUCAGCUAAGCCCCACUUCCUGUACCCUUACCUCCCAAUAAUGCCAUCAAACUAUAAUCUCAUCUAAGGAUUAAUCUACAGAUGAAAUUAGAGUCUUUAUGACCUAGUUGCCUCAAAAACUCCAUCCUCUGAACACAUGAGCUUUUUGGACAUUUAAGAUCUAAACUGUAGCAAAUUCCACUCCAGAGCUAUACCUUACCUCUGCCUAAGCUUCUCUGCUUCUCUGCUCCCCUUCCUGGGCCCCACUUGUAGACCUUAGUGCUCAGACUCUGAGUUCAUCCUGCCAGGGUGGAUCUCGUUUUCACAGCUACAGACUUUGCCUUUGUACCAAGGGGAUUAGGAUAGAAAUAGCUCUUAGGCGCUGCUAUUCUACCUGGAACUAGCAUUCUGCCUUGCAUAUCAGCCUGGUGGCCUGGGUCUUUUACUGGAUGAUGGGUCUAUGGGGAUUCUUUCCAGGUUCUUGGUGUUUUGAACAAAGAAUUGGACAAGACACACAGAAAAGUUAGUGAAGGUGUACAUCUGUUAAAGGCAGAAAAGAGGUACACACUACAGGGCAAUAGCAGGCCAGUGGUCCUAAGGAUAAGGGAAAAGGGUCUUUUGUAUCCAAAAUUCCCAGGUUGGCUUCCUCCUUGUGCAAAUAAGGCAUUGGGACAUUUGUCUUAUCAAAAACUCACUUGGUGUCACAUCAGGUAUAAACUAUCCUGUUGGAAAACUCGCUUCGUUUCCUGCCAGAAAUGAGUAAAUAGUAAAUAGUAAAUGAGCUAUCAGAAACAACAUCUUUUGAUUGGUUGUGCCCACAUGUAAAAGGAAAGAUAGAAAAUAGCAUCUUCUGAUUGGUCCUUCGAAUAGUGCCAGAUUCAAAUGAGGGAUUGAAAAUACUGUUUUUUGAUUGGUUCUGUUUACAGUGCUUAGGAGCUGUGGAGUUACUUUGGAUCUUGUGUUCUGUGCAUGUCCUCUUAGGAAAAAUGUCACUCAACUUGUUUGCCAUAAUUUUUUUAGUACCUUUGACACAUACCCUGUUUGUUGCUCACUUUCCCCCAGCCCUAAUCCCCUACUUGAAGUCUGCAGUCCCAGAUGAAGCCUAGUGACACCUCCUGUACCCUGAUGUCUAGGAGCCACAUUGGUCAUUGAUACAUUUCUGGGCUGAGCAUGAUCCCUGGAAUGUAGUUGGCACUCAAUUCAUUGUCAGGUGAAUAAAUUUAUGGAUAUAUCUGCUUUGGUCAUUCCCUUAGUUUAAACUUACCCUCUUCAUGGGAACUCUAAGGCUCACUGUACUGUGCAUAAUGUUGGUGGGCUCUUAGGCCCCUUGGAAGCAGCCUCUGCCAAGGGUCCCUUCCUCAAGGACCUGUCUAACCUUUCAUUUGCACAAUGUUUGUAUAUCUCAUGUACCACAGUAAGGGUCUUACACACAUCACUGAUUCAGUAGCUCCUGAGCUGGGAAUUGCUCUCUCUGUUUUACUGUUGUAUUAAAUGAAGUUGCUGAGAGUUUAAGGGACUUGGCUUAGUAAUAUUCAGCUCUCUCCCUUCCCUGAGUUUCUUUAGGCUGACUCUGACCUGAAGCCCAAGACAUUCACAGAUAAUGGUGGUUAUUACCCAGAUGUGGCAUGUUAAGUGGGUAAAUUAUAAGAAGUGGCUCCUUCCCUUGCUUCCUUUACAGACUGGAGGUAUAAACUGAGGCAAGUCACCACACUGGGCAUCUGGUCACAUUUGGAAGAAGAGGACUCUGGUGCCUGUAUUUGUAUUCUCUGCUUCCCUUUUAUGCCUCCUCCUUGCCUGUGGGCAUGUCAUCUUUCAGGGUGGUCCCCUCUGAUUCCUCUUCCCAACCCUGCAGCCCAGCUUCAAUACAGCAGAUGGGCCUGGAUGUGACUAUGCUGCUGAUUGGCAGGAAAACCAUAUACUCAAUAAGGUAUCACUGUAGGGCUUGUUUUCUGGACAACUCCUUCCUAUGGUUGCUCUUCCCCUUGUGUCUUCCCAUUGUGGCAGCAGCAUGAAUCAUGUCAGAUGUUUAACUUAAAAGUGUGUUGGAAGGGUUUGCUGGAGCAUAUGCUGGUAGUGCAUCCCAGCUACUUUCUGUCCCGACCUCUUCUGGGAAGAUGGCAAGGUGCCUGUGCCACACCUCCUCCUCAUGUACCGCCUCAUCUGCUGCAUUUGCAUCAGCACCAGAGCUCUUGUUCUCUCCAAAUGAGUCAGGGGAGAGAUCUUGGAAGAGUAAUUAAUUUGAGCAGAUGUGUGUCAAUGUUGUAGGAAAUAAAAGAUGUCAGUACAAACCACCUGUGCAAACUCUGGCCAUAGAGGACCAGGAAUGCAGGUGGACCUCCCUUUUGGAAAACUCAGUUGGUGGAGGUCAUUUAUAUUACAAAAAGACUUACUUUACUGAAGGAUUUUCUGCCUCCUUCCUGAAAUUUAGAGCUCUUGGCUUAGUUAAGUAUUUUACAGGUCAUUAAGUACUUGACAGAGAAGCUUUAGGGACCAGAAAACUUUUAUGUUCAAGGUAAGAAUCAGUGCCAAUUACGGAUCUUUCAGAAAUGAAGAGGUAGCAUCCUGGAAAUUAUAUGUAAGUAUGUCCAUGGAAUAAUUGCAGUUGGACUCUCAACAUACGCACCCACACCUCUUUAGAGAUGCUCACCAUCCUAGAAGGCCUGUGCUUCCUGUGUAAAUGUGCUGCUUUUUGUUCUCUUUCCUUUUGUACCUGGAGAACAGGAGUGGAGAUUUCUGUGCCACUCUCCUAAUUGAUCCUCUGCUCCACUCACUACUGCAUUCCCCUGGGCUGGAAGCUUUCCUAACUGAAAAUCAUAGUUCAAUUCAGUGGCCUUUAAAGAUUUUUUUAUCAUAUGAUAUUUCUCUAGUAGACUUACUUUCCACUCCCAAGGCUCCUAUUUCAUACCUUUUCUGGCUUGAGAUCCCCUGCCUCACCUCCCACACUCUCCCUCUGAGUCUAGCCUUUCACCUCAGCUUUUAUUGCAGAAACAGCAGACAUCAGACUGGUGCUGUCUUCCCGCCCCAGCUCUGGACGCCUGCCUGCAGCAGCACUCCCAUGUAUGUACUCCAGAGCCUGUCCUCUGCAUGCACACUGGAUCCUAGCCUCUUACCUUUUUGAGAACCUCACCUGGCUUCAUCCCCGGCAGGGUAGAGAUGUGUUCUUUUUUCUGUCGUCUUUGAAAAGCCUGCUGUAGCUGUACUUUCUCUUUUGGCUGAUUUUCUAUUUCUCCUC